AUCAUCUUGUGUACAUCAAUGGCCGCCCCUUUGUUUUGCAUGAGGUGGAGAGACCGUUCUCUAACCUUGAAUAUACGGGAAUUAAUAGGGAACGGAUUGAACAAAUGGAAGCUUGUUUGAAACAGGACAUACUGUUAGAAGCUGCCAGAUAUGGAAAUAAAAUCCUUGUGACCGAUGAACUUCCAGAUGGUUAGAUGGUGGACCAAUGGGAACCGGUAUCAUGGAAAUAAAAUCCU
Arachis ipaensis is the source of this 236-nucleotide non-coding RNA. The record is from RefSeq and is a predicted model, not a curated record. NCBI's taxonomy places the organism in Eukaryota, Viridiplantae, Streptophyta, Magnoliopsida, Fabales, Fabaceae.